GCCCAAGUGGCGGAAUGGUAGACGCAGGGGAUUCAAAAUCCCCCGCCGCAAGGCGUGCCGGUUCGAGUCCGGCCUUGGGCACCA
RNAcentral lists this transfer RNA (84 nucleotides) under Roseivivax halodurans JCM 10272. RNAcentral describes it as "tRNA-Leu". It matches the Rfam family "tRNA". Rfam says of the family: Transfer RNA (tRNA) molecules are approximately 80 nucleotides in length. Their secondary structure includes four short double-helical elements and three loops (D, anti-codon, and T loops). Lineage: Bacteria; Pseudomonadati; Pseudomonadota; Alphaproteobacteria; Rhodobacterales; Roseobacteraceae. The record is from RNAcentral.